Molecule: ribosomal RNA, 858 nt
Filed under: uncultured Actinomycetes bacterium
Lineage: Bacteria; Bacillati; Actinomycetota; Actinomycetes
Description: bacterial SSU rRNA
Rfam family: Bacterial small subunit ribosomal RNA
Source: RNAcentral
ACGAACGCUGGCGGCGUGCUUAACACAUGCAAGUCGAACGGAAAGGCCUGCAGCUUGCUGCGGGUACUCGAGUGGCGAACGGGUGAGUAACACGUGGGUGAUCUGCCUUGCACUUCGGGAUAAGCUUGGGAAACUGGGUCUAAUACCGGAUAGGACAGCUGUUUAGUGUCAGUUGUGGAAAGUUUUUUCGGUGCAAGAUGAGCUCGCGGCCUAUCAGCUUGUUGGUGGGGUAAUGGCCUACCAAGGCGUCGACGGGUAGCCGGCCUGAGAGGGUGUACGGCCACAUUGGGACUGAGAUACGGCCCAGACUCCUACGGGAGGCAGCAGUGGGGAAUAUUGCACAAUGGGCGGAAGCCUGAUGCAGCGACGCCGCGUGGGGGAUGAAGGCCUUCGGGUUGUAAACUCCUUUCGACAGGGACGAAGCGUAAGUGACGGUACCUGUAUAAGAAGCACCGGCUAACUACGUGCCAGCAGCCGCGGUAAUACGUAGGGUGCGAGCGUUGUCCGGAAUUACUGGGCGUAAAGAGCUCGUAGGUGGUUUGUCGCGUCGUCUGUGAAAUUCCGGGGCUUAACUCCGGGCGUGCAGGCGAUACGGGCUGACUUGAGUGCUGUAGGGGAGACUGGAAUUCCUGGUGUAGCGGUGAAAUGCGCAGAUAUCAGGAGGAACACCGAUGGCGAAGGCGGGUCUCUGGGCAGUAACUGACGCUGAGGAGCGAAAGCAUGGGUAGCGAACAGGAUUAGAUACCCUGGUAGUCCAUGCCGUAAACGGUGGGCGCUAGGUGUAGGGGGCUUCCACGUCUUCUGUGCCGUAGCUAACGCAUUAAGCGCCCCCGCCUGGGGAGUACGGCCGCAAGGCUA